UUUUUUUUUUGUUCAAAUGUUAGGUUGAGUUGAUUUAAAUAAUUGUCUUGUCACGAGACGGAAAUGUUGAAGUUCAGUUUGUUUUGUAUGUCUCUGAUUUGUAAAACUGAUUACGCUCAGGCAAUAAUGGCAGAAGGAAAACAACAUGCUCUUGCUAUUGGCUUCACAAAAAUGUCAGCAAAAGAAAUGUAAGUUAUUUUCUUAUUCGAAGGACAUUAUCGUUGCUUCUCCUAGAGUAAUGCCUUGGGUACCCUUAGAAUAUUGAGGACAAGAUAUAUAAUACGAGAGCCUAACUUGCAUUACCGACCUCAAAUCUAGCUUAGUUAUCUGUUGCUGAUUGUCGUAUUUACAAAGUUGAGUCUUCCCCUUGGUUUGCAGAAGAGAUAUCAACAAGGGAAUCGGAGUUGACAACAUGCAUUAUCUUAACGAUGGUCUUUGGAAGGUACGUCAGUGUCUACUUUGUAUUUAUGGCCAUUGCCAGUGUUUUAACUAGUGUUUCGUUGUUAAAUCUUUCGCCUUGCUAUGCAGAUGGAACAUCUAGAUUGAAGAUACUCAAGACUAUCCGUGGUAUCAUCAACAAGAAAUGAAGAACACAUGUUAGUUUCAUCGAUGUGGUCUUGACUUUACUGUUUUUCGGAGUGUUAGGUCCGAGCUUUACAAGUCACGAGUAUACCCUAACCGUAUUUACAUGUUUUGUAUUUGUACGUGGAGUGAUCAUCUUUAUCAAAUUCAUCGUAAGAUGGUCAUAUCCAUUUUGUGAUACAAUUUAGAGGUAUUUUUCUUAUAUGAUGUAAGAGGUGAAUUCCCAACUCCCAAGCAUAUGUUUUGACAUCUUUUCCAGUGAACUAUAUGUCUUUGCGAAGAUAAAUGAACGAAAUUAUGAUUUCCUCUUAGACAGCUGCGUAAUCUUUGAAAUUUCAUCGUGAUGUUGGUCUUCAACGAGGAAUUCCUAGUAAGCGCGAGUCAUCAGCUCGUGUUGACUACGUUCCUGCCCUUUGUACACACCACCCCUCGUACCGAUUGAAUGGUCCGGAAAAGUGUUCGGAUCGCGGCGACGAUCGAUUGCUUGAGAAGAAUGCAAGUGAGGAAAUGCUAAAACUAGCACAUUUCGGUGCUCGCAGAAUAGCAAAGGGGCAACAAACUUUUUAAAACUAAACGUUUUCCGUACUAGAAAUACAUCUUUUACUUGUUUUUCCUACUUCUCGAACUAUCAGGAGAUUUCUGGCUGAUCUUGGCUUCAAAUUUCCUGAUUCGUAGAGCGGCUACAUUGUGGCUCUGGCUACGUCUUUAUCGUUUGCUGCAUAUUGACAUGAACAAAGAAAAGAUCAACAGCGAAGCGAAAAACGAUCCAAGUUAGCAACACUGCAAAAUCUCAUUAUGGCAAUCGAAAUGUGGCGGCAGAAGAAGGGCAUACCUUACAGACAAUAGGCCGGCUGUAAGAACCAAUCCUCCGACGGCCCAAGAAACUCGUUCACUAAAUGGCAUGUCCCUCCACCUCUGCUGGAAUUCAGCCUCAAGCUCUCAGCUUUCUGGAGCACCUCAGAAGGUGAAGCCUUCCAUGAAUCAGCAAUCAAGUCAAGACUGGCUUUACCAACAACAACAACAACAACAAAGCCUUUUCCCACUAAGUGGGGUCGGCUCAAGACUGGCUUUACCGCAGUAGCAAAAUGCUUCUUCGUUGCUCACGGAUGCAUCAUCUUUAACAGCAAAUCCUGCCGCAUGGCAGAACUCUGUGCCAUUAAGAAUCCAUUCCGAGGCCCUGCCGCAAACAUAAUCACUUACUCCACAUGGUGCUAGAACCUGGAAGAAGGUAAUUAAUCAGAAAAUGCAAUUCCCUAAUGCACCCAAAAGAGAUCAGUUUAAUCACCUAUUUAUUUGGUUAUGUCAAAUUAUAAGUCGGUAAAAAAAAUUCCUCGACUGGAAGUUAAAGGUCUCCCACAUACCUGUGUUAUUGCAUCUGUCGAGUAGUAAGCCUCAGCACAAGCCUCAAAAACCCUGUCACAGAAAGAGGCACAUAUAGCUGGAGGUCCUGACUGCACGCCAAUGCAGGGAUCACAGAUGGAACAUUCCAGUAAUUCCCACAAAUGCAAGCACUCUGGGCCAGCUUCCCCUGAUGAAGCCAACUUCCUAACGGAUACCAGUGCAGGCUGUGUCUGGGCUACAUCACAGCAAGUUUUUUGCGGAACACUCUGCAAAGGGUCAGAUCUUUGGGUCCCUUACUCAGAUGUUUUGGAGGUUUUCCCUCGGAAGACAAUGGUGGGAAACGACCGCCUUGAGAAAUGCAUACACUGUCAGGUUUACCUACAACUAAAACAGAUGUAGAUAACGUUUAAUGACCAACUAGCGUACAUGCAAAAAUCAUUUGAAAACCAUGUAAAAACUUCUUUACAUAGGAAUUGAAUUUCUCCAAAAUAAUUUGUUAACUUAAGACUCUUGAAGAUGAUUGCCACUGCGAAACGGAAAAGCCUAAAGUAUUGCCCCACAAGAAAUGCAAUUACGUUCUUGCUUGGGAUUCUUGGGAAGAACCAGAAUUUCUUCUGGUUGCCUUUAAGUUAAAGAGAUAAACCAUGCUUACAUGCAUAAAUCAGAUUACAAGAGCAACACCGAUACGAGGCCAAAUCCAGAAAGCAGAUGCCAUUCUGCUGAUUUAAGGAAACAACAAGCAGAUUGCGUCCAAUUUCCACACCGCUAUGAAAAAUGAACAAUGACCAUGCACUCGUAAGAUGUGAUAAGGCAGUCGGGGCACGCCAAAGACACCUUAUGUCAGCUUCAAAAAAAGAGCAAGCCCCUUCAUGGCUUGUCAACCAGAGACAUAAUUAACAUAGACCUCCACACAAGAUUCUAAAAGACGCUAGCUGUUAGUUGAACGGCAAGCUGGGGCCUAGCACCUAGGUGGCUAGGCGGGCCUAGACGGGCGCCUAGAUGAACAAGACGGAUUUAAGUAAAUCUAUUAUAUUUCGUGUAAAUAAGCGUCUGUUUAUACUUAAAAAAUAUAUAAUUUCAUUAUAAACUACAAAAUAGAAUGACAUAUAUAUUAGGAAGUAUUGGAACAUAAUGAAAACAUGGGGAACAAGCAUAUAAUGGGUAUUCGUUUAAGUAUUCAACAAGUAUCUUACAAUUUAUUAAAAAAAUAAAAUACAAAAUGAAAGUUAUCUAUUUUUUAACCAAAUAAGUCACAACUUAGACAGGUGCCUAGGUGGUCUAGGUGGUCUAGGCGGACGCCUCAACAGGUCUAGACGCUCUUUCUUAAUUUUCAAAGGCUUAAACAUUAAUCAAGGUAGUGACCAACCGCCUAGCACCUAGGUGGGGAUUUUUGGAACAGUGCCUCCACGUCAAACUGAUUCUAGCCUACCUCAACUUCCCUCAACCGAAUAUGUUACAUCCGCAAUGCGGAACUAUAGCUCAUACAAACCUUAUGUUUUGGCACACUGGAGACAGAAGUCUAACCUAGUGUGAGAAAAUGGAAAUCUCACUGUUGCAAUUCUCAUGUCAGAGCAGAUAUCCAGUGAUGUCUGCAUACAGUAGACUGAAACUGUACCGAUCAAGUGCAAAAAGAUGGGACUUUCUGAAUCCUAUCUGGAUUUUUUUUUUUUUUUUUUGAACAUCUAUCUGGAUUUUGACUAAUUCUACAAUCCAAAAAAUAAAAUAAAAAUACAAAUCCAUGAUGUCAUUGUUCUCCUAAAAAACUGAUCGUUUUCGAUGGCUGCAAAGUUGGGACACUACGAAAUCGACUCCAAAACUGUUCGCUGAUUAAUUUCAACACAAAGGUCCCGAAAAUCAAACAAUUAGGAUCUGAAAACAAACAAGAAAAAUGAUAUUAUAUAUAUAUAUAUAUAUAUAUAUAUAUAUAUAUAUAUCUGUGUGUGUGUAUUUAUGUACGUAUUUACCAGUUAAAGAGGGGACGAGUGUAUUGAGAAGGAGCAGCAGGAUCAGAGACGCGCAACCCAUUUUUCAUCACUCGGUGGUUUCUUAGUUCUCAAAAAUUUUAAUUUUAAUUGAAAAAUGACAAAUAAAGUUGUAAGUGAAUAGUACAAAAAAAGAUAAAAAUAUGGUUUUUCAUAAAAAAAAAAUAAAUGGUACCAAAAGUGUUUCGUUAAAACUCACAAACAAAAUCCGAUCCGGUGAGAACGGUGGCUGUGGUGGGUACCCGGUGACCCAAUGUACCACAGGUCUCAGGUCUGCGGUGAUGGACCCAAACUUCUAACUGGGUCGGAAGGGAAACAUGGACUCAGGUUGGAGGCCCAUAUAUGUUGCCCUUUCGUUUCUAUACUUAUUUUUACAUAUUUCUAUAAACAUCCACAUAAAUUUCUAAUAUUUCUAAUUUAUUCCUGCUUAAAAUAGAGAAAUAAAAAUUGGCACCAUUCCAAACCCUUUCUGUUUUUUGGUCAAGGAGGAAUUUUAUAACAAAGUCCAAACGGACGCAGUAGAAAGAUAACAGCUUCAUAAUUGAGGUAGGUACAAAUGAGACGUCACUUGUACAUUCAUCGCAUGAGUAAAGGUUCUCAAUUAUACCUAAAGCAUACAAAAAAAUUACAAGAGAUAUGGCUCGGCCCAAAAGCCGAAGUCCACCCGAAGAGGCCCAAAAGUGACCCCUCCGAAAAAAUCUAAUAACCCUAAAACGAGAAUCACCCACCGCCUCAACCGCCUCACCAUUCCAAACCCUUCUUGAUUCUUAUUCUCCUUCUUUCGCCUUCUCUUAAUUCUUCUCCAAACACAGAUUUGCCAUUGGGCUCCACUGCAUCUGGAAUUGACAGUGCACUGUGCACUGCAACAGUGGCUCAGAAAAGGACGACGCCGUUUCCCAAAUUCUCAGUCAAGCACCGCCUGAAAUCCUUAUGGCCCUAGAGCACCAAGAGGAGGUGGCGGACCCACAUACCAUGGGAUGGCUCUCGUAUGAGGGGUAUACUUAGGGAAUAAAUUUAAUUUAAAUAAUUGAAUAUGCAACGGAAAAAUAAUAAAUAACAUACAAUAUGUUAUUCCAAUAUGCUAAAAAUGUCUCUAUAAUCUUAUCAAAUAGUGCUAAUAGCAUUUUAACAACUACACAACACCAAAGUGCGUCGAAGUGAGGCACCUGAUGAGCCUAAAAACAGAGGUGGAUGGUUUAAGGGUUGCGAUGGAAAGCAAUAUUGGAGCAAAAAAGGGGCAUAAAAACCCAAAUUUUGAGACGAAAGGUCAAGAAAACCAAAAUACAAGGGGUCUAAGUAAAAUACAGAGAAGCUAAGGAGACAAAGGAGAAGGAAAAGUAGUUGGAAUUGGCCAGAGAAGGGGGUUGCCAUCGACCCCCACCCAAAGUAGGUGUUGGUGGCAUUGUCUUCAUGAUUCAGCGUGUCCGUGUUUGUCUUAUCCAUUUUGCUUUAAUGUCUUUGUGUUUUUUAAAACUUCCAUGUUAUGUAUCAUUGAGGGCUUCAAAAAGAAAAAUAAAGAACGGUUAGAUCUUUCAUGUUGCGUUCUAAUUAUCUUUGCAAUGAUUAAAUUUUUUAUAAAACUCCUACUUGAAUGGUAUGUACUAUUGCAGUCGAACUUUUAUUAGUAUUUAAUAUAACAGGAUAGUGUUAUUUACACAUCUGUUUUACCCACACGCAUUUGUUAAUUUUGAACCAUCAAAUUUCUUCAAUUCAUUCGAUUAGACGGUUGGAUAUUGACCUCUCGUUGAUUUCUGUUCUUUGAUAUUUUUCAAUUCAUCUUAUCAGACAUCCGAAAAUUAAAAAAAUGUGUGAAUAUCACACCCCUAAUAAAAAAUGGUGGAUAGCACUACCCUAAUAAGGUUAGUGGAGUGUCAACUUCAUCUCUCGUAUUUUUCCACUCUUCAAAGUGAAGAUAUAUGAAUCUCAUCAUAUAGAUAAGAUUCUGUUAUAAGCUUAUCGUCAUAUCAAUGCUAGGUUAGGUUAGCGGCAGCGGCAUGGUCCCUUUUGGCCCAUACGUCCGUACACAGCUCCGUUAACUUAUCACGGAUGGGCAUUAGGAUAAGUUCUACUAGAUACCAGAAUCCCAGAUGGAAAAUUUAUCUCGUGUUCUCUGUACAAGUUAUACUAACGAGAGCAUCUUUCAACAAUCCAGAUGGAUAAGCAAUAACGGAGUUGUACCAACGGAAAUUUCAAUCGACGUUAGAUUCAUAUCCAUGUUUCUGGCAUCAAGUUAGGGUCUCGGAAAAUAGGGUCCCCUCUGGCAAUGGCCGGAUCGACAUAGAGAUUCGGAUGAUACCAAUAACCUCCGACAGUCCGACUGCCCGAAAAAUACAUGCGAAGGUCUUUCGAGGACUAUCCAAAUGUAUGACACAGACUCAUUAAUAGUAUGAUGAAAUGCCUUCCAAAAAUAUCUUGACAACAUUUGGCUAGACAUGUCAACCAUGCCUAGCCUGAGAUCUCAACAGCACUCGACAAGUUUUUUUGGCUUUGUUAAUACAACGCAAUAACGAUCGGUCCACUAAAUGCUCGACAAAUUUUUACGUGUUACGCGCACAUUAGUUUCUUUUUGUGUGCAUAUUUUUUAAAAUUUUAUUUGUGUUUGUACCCAUGUGUAUGUCAUCAUGUAACAUUGUAUAUUUAAUCAAUGAUAGAAAAAUUACAUAUGGUAUAUUUAUGUUUUAUGCCUAACUUUUGUAUCAUAUAUUUAUAUUUUUAGUUUGUACCCACUUUUAAUUUGCAACAUUUUUUAAAAAAAUUUGUAGUAUUUUCUUUUUAAUUUUAUUUUGUACCCAUGUAUUAAUUUCUUUUAGUGCCUAUAUUUUUUAAGUACCAAUUUUUUUAACACUAUGAAUACAUUCUUUUGUCAUUUAUUAUUUCUUAUUUUUACAUAGUUUUUAUCCAUUUAUUCAAUUAAAAUGUUUGAAUUUUUUUAUUGUAACCGUUUCUAAUAGUAUUAUAACGAAGAAUUUAAAAUUUAUAGGAUAAUAAAUUUCAUAAAAUAUCAAACAAUUAAUAUCAAAACUAUAAAAAAUAUAAAUAUUAAUUGUAAUAUAAUGAGGUGUACAAAGUCAAUAAACUUUAAUUAAACUUUGAAUACCAUUAAAAUUUUAGUCAAAGAAUGUUAAGGAUUAAAAACCGCAUCCAAAAUAUCCCUUAAUUGUAUGACGAAAUGCCUUCCAAAAAUAUCUUGACAACAUAUCUUGACAACAUUUGGCUAGACGUAUCAACCAUGCCCACCCUGAGAUCUCUCGACAGCACUCUGACAAGUUUCUUUGGCUUUGUUAAUAUAAUUCAAUAACGAUCGGUCCACCAAAUGCUCGACAAAUUUUUGCGUAGCCGCGCACAUUAUUCAUCUAAAUAGAACCUGAAUGUUUUAGGCUGAAAUUCUUAAUCCUGAAUCCGCCAGCCAUACGUCCACACUUACAACUACGACGAAUAGCGCCCAUGGAUAAGAUAUCUUUCUACAAACGAGAAGUAUUGACACAAGCACCAGAUUAUAUAGAUCCAGUACCACAUCAUAAUACAUUACACAUGCACGAACUAAUAUGCAGUUUUAUUAUUCAAAAUACAACAGCAGGAACUUGUAAGGGAAAAUUAAACACUCUCUUUACAAAUAACAGCAGAGAUUAUGCAGAUUUAGCAACAUGGAAACCCUAGCAACUCGGAACGAACACACCCAAACCCUAGCAACAGCGGAGAUUCAACCACUAUACUUAUAUAGUCGCACAUGCACUAGAUUGAAACUCAGAACAAACAACACCCAAAACCCUACGUGGAAACCCUAGACAGUUUCUUUUUUCCUUCCAGCCAUGGCUAAACCGUCCACAGAAAAC
RNAcentral lists this long non-coding RNA (7738 nucleotides) under Malus domestica (apple). Its description in RNAcentral is "long non-coding RNA (MDOM_LNC011626)". The record is from RNAcentral. Lineage: Eukaryota; Viridiplantae; Streptophyta; Magnoliopsida; Rosales; Rosaceae.